This 425-nucleotide unclassified non-coding RNA is filed under the name soil metagenome. RNAcentral's name for it is "partial contains 5.8S ribosomal RNA, internal transcribed spacer 2, and large subunit ribosomal RNA". The stretch from base 1 to 120 matches the Rfam family "5.8S ribosomal RNA", at positions 35 to 154 of the family's 154-position model. The record is from RNAcentral.
GAUGAAGAACGCAGCGAAAUGCGAUAAGUAGUGUGAAUUGCAGAAUUCCGUGAAUCAUCGAAUCUUUGAACGCACAUCGCGCCUUCUGGUAUUCCGGAAGGCAUGCCUGUUCGAGAGUCAUUAACAACCGUUUCGAUCCCUUUCUUUCAGAAAUUACAAAGAGGAAAAGGGUUUGGUUAUGGUGGAGGAGGGAAAGGGAGCGUUUAGCCUGUAAAAAAAGAGGCUGUGUUCCGCCUCCCCCCCAAAAUUGUACAGGCGGUCGUGUGCGCCCACGCAUCGAGGUGUUGUAAAAGCUGCCACGGCACUUUUCACCUGUGCAGUGCGAGAUUGGCCAGCCGGUUUAAAAACCCCUCCAAACAAUCAAAGGUUGACCUCGGAUCAGGUAGGGAUACCCGCUGAACUUAAGCAUAUCAAUAAGCGGAGGA